This 482-nucleotide ribosomal RNA is filed under the name uncultured bacterium. RNAcentral's name for it is "bacterial SSU rRNA". It matches the Rfam family "Bacterial small subunit ribosomal RNA", at positions 30 to 507 of the family's 1533-position model. The record is from RNAcentral.
AUUGAACGCUGGCGGAAUGCUUUACACAUGCAAGUCGAACGGCAGCACGGGGCAACCUGGUGGCGAGUGGCGAACGGGUGAGUAAUACAUCGGAACGUGCCCAAUCGUGGGGGAUAACGUAGCGAAAGUUACGCUAAUACCGCAUACGAUCUACGGAUGAAAGCGGGGGAUCGCAAGACCUCGCGCGAAUGGAGCGGCCGAUGUCAGAUUAGGUAGUUGGUGGGGUAAAGGCUCACCAAGCCGACGAUCUGUAGCUGGUCUGAGAGGACGACCAGCCACACUGGGACUGAGACACGGCCCAGACUCCUACGGGAGGCAGCAGUGGGGAAUUUUGGACAAUGGGCGAAAGCCUGAUCCAGCCAUUCCGCGUGCAGGAUGAAGGCCUUCGGGUUGUAAACUGCUUUUGUACGGAACGAAACGGCUCUUUCUAAUACAGGGGGCUAAUGACGGUACCGUAAGAAUAAGCACCGGCUAACUACGUG